UGCGGAGGGUGCAAGCGUUAAUCGGAAUUACUGGGCGUAAAGCGCACGCAGGUGGCUGAGUCAGUCGAUUGUGAAAGCCCUGGGCUUAACCUGGGAAUUGCAGUCGAUACUACUCAGCUAGAGUAUGGGAGAGGGCAGUGGAAUUCCCGGUGUAGCGGUGAAAUGCGUAGAUAUCUGGAGGAACACCGGUGGCGAAGGCGGCAUCCUGGACCGGUAUUGACGCUGAGGCGCGAAAGCCAGGGGAGCAAACGGG
This 253-nucleotide ribosomal RNA is filed under the name uncultured bacterium. Its description in RNAcentral is "partial 16S ribosomal RNA". It matches the Rfam family "Bacterial small subunit ribosomal RNA", at positions 524 to 776 of the family's 1533-position model. The record is from RNAcentral.